CAGCCGCCGCGGGAAUACGUAGGUGGCAAGCGUUGUCCGGAAUUAUUGGGCGUAAAGGGUGCGUAGGCGGUUUGAUAAGUCUGAUGUGAAAUCUAUGGGCUCAACCCAUAGUCUGCAUCGGAAACUGUCAGGCUUGAGAGUGGGAGAGGUGAGUGGAAUUUCCGGUGUAGCGGUGAAAUGCGUAGAUAUCGGAAGGAACACCUGUGGCGAAAGCGGCUCACUGGACCAUUUCUGACGCUGAUGCACGAAAGCUAGGGGAGCAAACAGGAUUAGAUACCCCAGUAGUCCCUGUCUCUUAUAC
This 301-nucleotide ribosomal RNA is filed under the name uncultured bacterium. RNAcentral's name for it is "partial 16S ribosomal RNA". It matches the Rfam family "Bacterial small subunit ribosomal RNA", at positions 509 to 807 of the family's 1533-position model. The record is from RNAcentral.